AUUAAAGUCUAUCCUGAAAGUGGCUACAUCAACACUAUGAAUAAAGCAGAGUGCUGAAGCACUUGUAGAAGCAAGUGCAGGCCUUAAAGAAAGAGGAAUGUCAUCCUAAUCCACCUAAAGAAAAAGAAAAACAGCCAGUCCCAUUAUUUCCGUUCUUCCAAUCUGCAGAUAUUAAUGCUACAGAAUGCCUCCUUCAUCAUUUCACUACGGAGCCAAGUAAUAAAGUUUCA
This 230-nucleotide long non-coding RNA is filed under the name Cyanistes caeruleus (blue tit). RNAcentral describes it as "lncRNA (ENSCCEG00000013183.1)". Lineage: Eukaryota; Metazoa; Chordata; Aves; Passeriformes; Paridae. The record is from RNAcentral.